RNAcentral lists this long non-coding RNA (1121 nucleotides) under Anas platyrhynchos platyrhynchos (common mallard). RNAcentral's name for it is "lncRNA (ENSAPLG00000020147.1)". Lineage: Eukaryota; Metazoa; Chordata; Aves; Anseriformes; Anatidae. The record is from RNAcentral.
AUGGAUGUAAUAAAGCUUUCCAGGCAUGGAUGCACUCUAGAAUUUCAUCCCCACGAUUCAGCUUACUACUCAGUAAACAAAGCAGAUGGUUUUUCCAUUGCUAUCAGCACCGAGGUGACAUGUACAUUGCCACAGUCAGCCCACCAAUUUACAUGGGAAAGAAGAAAAAGACUCCACAGCACUCCCAAACUACUUGAAGCAGAUGAAUUAGCACGUUCCACAUCAAUUCUCCAAGACUGAAAAUGGAAUUAUGACCUUCCAGGUGUUUCUGAAGUGUAAGUUCACUACCAUUAUCCCAUUUCUGAGAUCGUCCUACAGUACCUGGUGUUUUCUGUUUAUUAAACACGUGCAAGAUUGCCUUUUCCUAGUUCAUAUUUUUGGUGCCUUCUGCUUACUUUAAACUAGAAAGCAUUUUGUCUACUCUUAAUUUUCCCAUUAACUUGUAGUUCGGUUCUAUUGAAUUGAACAUUGUCUCAACUAAGUCUUAUUAAUAGAAAACAAAACAAAACAAAACAAAACACAAAAAACACAGCACAUUAAAAGCUUUAAGCUUUAUAUUUAGAAUUGUUAAUAACAUUGUCUCUCUCCUUUAUUGUCUCUCUCCAUGCUUAAUGGCUGAUGGUCCAGUCUCUUGCUUACUUGUUAGUUAAUAUGUUUCGAGCUCACCCACAUCUCUUCGCUACCAGUUAUGUACAACCUGACCACUUUAUUGUUUGCAGCCAGCUCUCUGCUUUCCCCUAAGCCUAUCAUAACCCAAAUCUUAACAAAACAAAAAAUACCUGCAGGCAAUCUCCUCGACCCUGAGAUACCUCCAAAUACUCAGCAAUAUUUAGCCAGUGGAUUAGCUCUGACUUUAAAUUGUGUGUUACAAUACCUGCCUAUUACCUUGUAGUUCUGUCUAUCAGAUGUAGUCUCUCAUCUGUGAUAGGCACACACUCUUAUUUCCUAUUCUUACCAUAAUGCUGUUAUGAUAUAAUCCUUGACUGGUACUUCUAAACCCAAGCAUUUGGGUUUAGAUGCUUCUAAACCCAAGCACUGAGGAUCACUCUGGGUCCCUUCCAACUCAGGAUAUUUUACGAUCAUAUGAUUCAUUCUAUAAAAUAAAAUAUAGUCAUCUGUCA